GAAUGGUGUUCACAGAAUAUGAGCAAAUUCCAAAGAAAAAGGCGAAUGGCAUUUUCAGCACAGCAGCUCUGCCAGAAAACGCCGAGCGCAGCCGAAUCCGUGAAGUUGUCCCCUAUGAGGAGAAUCGAGUAGAGCUGAUACCAACCAAAGAAAAUAACACAGGAUACAUUAACGCCUCCCACAUCAAGGUGGUGGUUGGCGGGGCAGAAUGGCACUACAUAGCCACCCAGGGGCCCCUGCCACACACGUGCCACGACUUCUGGCAGAUGGUGUGGGAGCAGGGAGUGAAUGUGAUUGCCAUGGUCACUGCAGAGGAGUGAUCUUUCCACUGGAAUUUGGGAGUCUCAGGCUGCUCUGGGCAAAUCGACAUAGACACCCGACUCCAGGCACCCAGCUCCACAUGCCAUCAUCCUUAUCAGCUGAAAAGAGACCAGAAGCUGUU
This 442-nucleotide small RNA is filed under the name Pan troglodytes (chimpanzee). RNAcentral's name for it is "processed transcript". The record is from RNAcentral. Lineage: Eukaryota; Metazoa; Chordata; Mammalia; Primates; Hominidae.